GGUGCAUGGUUGUCGUCAGCUCGUGUCGUGAGAUGUUGGGUUAAGUCCCGCAACGAGCGCAACCCCUACGUCUAGUUGCUAACGCGUGAAGGCGAGCACUCUAGACGAACUGCCGUUGACAAAACGGAGGAAGUGGGAUGACGUCAAAUCAUCAUGCCCCUUAUGUUCUGGGCUACACACGUGCUACAAUGGCCGGUACAGACGGACGCAAAGCCGCGAGGUGGAGCAAAUCCUAAAAAGCCGGUCUCAGUUCGGAUUGCAGGCUGCAAUUCGCCUGCAUGAAGUCGGAAUCGCUAGUAAUCGCAGGUCAGCAUACUGCGGUGAAUACGUUCCCGGGCCUU
Molecule: ribosomal RNA, 341 nt
Filed under: uncultured Pelotomaculum sp.
Lineage: Bacteria; Bacillati; Bacillota; Clostridia; Eubacteriales; Desulfotomaculaceae
Description: bacterial SSU rRNA
Rfam family: Bacterial small subunit ribosomal RNA
Source: RNAcentral